UUGAACGCUGGCGGCAUGCCUUACCCAUGCAAGUCGCACGGUAACGGGCCUUCGGGUGCCGACGAGUGGCGAACGGGUGAGUAAUACAUCGGAACGUGCCCGAUCGUGGGGGAUAACGAGGCGAAAGCUUUGCUAAUACCGCAUACGAUCUACGGAUGAAAGCAGGGGACCGCAAGGCCUUGCGCGGACGGAGCGGCCGAUGGCAGAUUAGGUAGUUGGUGGGAUAAAAGCUUACCAAGCCGACGAUCUGUAGCUGGUCUGAGAGGAUGAUCAGCCACACUGGGACUGAGACACGGCCCAGACUCCUACGGGAGGCAGCAGUGGGGAAUUUUGGACAAUGGGCGCAAGCCUGAUCCAGCCAUGCCGCGUGCAGGAUGAAGGCCUUCGGGUUGUAAACUGCUUUUGUACGGAACGAAAAGCCUUCUUUUAAUACAGGAGGGUCAUGACGGUACCGUAAGAAUAAGCACCGGCUAACUACGUG
This 481-nucleotide ribosomal RNA is filed under the name uncultured bacterium. Its description in RNAcentral is "partial 16S ribosomal RNA". It matches the Rfam family "Bacterial small subunit ribosomal RNA", at positions 30 to 507 of the family's 1533-position model. The record is from RNAcentral.